RNAcentral lists this ribosomal RNA (511 nucleotides) under uncultured bacterium. RNAcentral's name for it is "bacterial SSU rRNA". It matches the Rfam family "Bacterial small subunit ribosomal RNA", at positions 29 to 517 of the family's 1533-position model. The record is from RNAcentral.
AGCGAACGUUAGCGGCGGGCCUAACACAUGCAAGUCGAACGCGAAAGGUCUUCGGACUGAGUAGAGUGGCGCACGGGUGAGUAACACGUAGGUAAUCUACCCUUUGGCGGGGGAUAACGUUCCGAAAGGAGCGCUAAUACCGCAUAAGACCACGGAGUCUCCGGACGCUGUGGGAAAAGGUGGCCUCUUCUUGAAAGCUACCACCGAAGGAUGAGCCUGCGUCCCAUCAGCUAGUUGGUAAGGUAAUGGCUUACCAAGGCGAAGACGGGUAGCUGGUUUGAGAGAAUGAUCAGCCACACUGGCACUGGAACACGGGCCAGACUCCUACGGGAGGCAGCAGUGAGGAAUAUUGGGCAAUGGGCGAAAGCCUGACCCAGCCACGCCGCGUGAGUGAUGAAGGCCCUCGGGUCGUAAAGCUCUGUGGAGAGGGACGAAAACCCUGGUUUCAAAUAGGCUCCAGGCUUGACGGUACCUCUUUAGCAAACACCGGCUAACUCUGUGCCAGCAGCCG